GACGUAGGGCGCGAGCGUUGUCCGGAUUUAUUGGGCGUAAAGGGCUCGUAGGCGGCUCGUCGCGUCUGCCGUGAAAGACCAUGGCUUAACUGUGGUUUUGCGGUGGAUACGGGCGGGCUUGAGGCCAGUAGGGGAGAUCGGAAUUCUACGUGUAGCGGUGAAAUGCGCAGAUAUGUGGAGGAACACCGGUGGCGAAGGCGGAUCUCUGGACUGGUGCUGACGCUGAGGAGCGAAAGCAUGGGGAGCGAACAGG
Molecule: ribosomal RNA, 253 nt
Filed under: uncultured bacterium
Lineage: Bacteria
Description: partial 16S ribosomal RNA
Rfam family: Bacterial small subunit ribosomal RNA
Source: RNAcentral